GCAAGUCUGGUGCCAGCAGCCGCGGUAAUUCCAGCUCCAAUAGCGUAUAUUAAAGUUGUUGCAGUUAAAAAGCUCGUAGUUGAAUUUCGGGAUCAAUAUUUCGGUCAUGCCGUUGGUAUGCACUGUUAUCAUUGAUUUCUCACCUUCUAAAGAACCAUAAUGCCAUUAAUUUGGUGUUACGGGGAAUUAGGACUGUUACCUUGAAAAAAUUAGAGUGUUUAAAGCAGGCUCACGCUUGAAUACAUUAGCAUGGAAUAAUGAAAUAGGACAUCCGAUUCUAUUUUGUUGGUUUCUAGGAUCGAUGUAAUGAUUAAUAGGGAUAGUUGGGGGCAUUAGUAUUCAAUUGUCAGAGGUGGAAUUCUUGGAUUUAUUGAAGACUAACUACUGCGAAAGCAUUUGCCAAGGAUGUUUUCAUUAAUCAAGAACGAAAGUUAGGGGAUCGAAGACGAUCAGAUACCGUCGUAGUCUUAACCAUAAACUAUGCCGACUAGGGAUCGGAUGAUGUUAAUUUUUUAAUGACUCAUUCGGCGCCUUACGGGAAAC
Molecule: ribosomal RNA, 543 nt
Filed under: uncultured Glomeromycotina
Lineage: Eukaryota; Fungi; Glomeromycota
Description: SSU rRNA
Rfam family: Eukaryotic small subunit ribosomal RNA
Source: RNAcentral